Molecule: long non-coding RNA, 1076 nt
Organism: Gallus gallus (chicken)
Lineage: Eukaryota; Metazoa; Chordata; Aves; Galliformes; Phasianidae
Source: Ensembl
CCACUUCCACUGCUUAUAUCUUUUCUUCCCCCUCCAAGUCUGACUAGCAGAUCCUUCCUCAGCCAUGCUGAAGAUUUAUGAAGAAGGCAGAGCAGAAGAGGACUGCAGACAGGUUUUGAAAACCUGGAAAACUGAGGUAGACUUAGAUCAAGAUUGAGUAACUAUUCUAGGAUCUGGAUGCACUUCGAAUCAGGCCCCAAGUCCUGCAAUAACACUGAGAAUUACAUAGCAUUUCAUCGUCUCUGGAUCAUGAAUGCUCAUUAGCUAAAGGUUUGUUUGUCUCUAAUUAUGAUACAUUAGGUUCAUCCAUUGAUCAACGUUGUGUGCAAGCUCAGAACCCUCAGGAGGCAAUGCAGUGGUAUCAGAUAGACAACAAUAUCUGCAGGCUGGUGACAACUUUCUCCCCAACUCCAGUACAAAAUAGGGACCUCUUUUAAAUUACAGCAGUUCAAAAGGGUGUGAAAACGUCAGCCCUUGGACAUCCUAUUGACUGACAUGAUUACUUGGCUCCCAGUUGUGGGCCUAUUUACUCAUUACAUGUAACAAGGUUAAUCUUCGCAAACUCAUUGGAGCACUCAGUAGCGUUUGAUUUCAUCCCUAUUUUCCUACUGGUAGGAAGGAACAGCAAUAAGCAUUUUUUCUGAGAAUUCAGCAUUGAUUUUUCUCCCCUAUUCCCCUGGCAUCCAUCCCGAACUUCCCAUGUGUUCCAAGCUCACUUCAAGGGAAAAUGCAGAAAAACAGCUGAGUGGUGUGUUACUAGAAAGUUCCCACUACAUCUUACACAGUACAGGGCUUGCUUUCAUACACUGCUAGAACCGUGCUCUGCAUUGCUAAUUUUACACGUCUUGCUGCUGCCAGCUCUAAUGCUGUAUCCAAAUGGUUUUGGUAGAAAAUAGGGAGAGAUACCUAAACUUAAUUAUUUUCUUAUUCUUCUCAAUGAAGGCUUAUUUUCAAUCGGGCAGCUCCCAUGGAUAUCAGCACUUAGUUUGUGUGAGCAGACAGAGCAGGUAAAGAUUGAUCAUCUGUUCGAUAUCACUGAGGAGCGGGAACCCCUUAAAAAAUAAAUAACUAAAUUU